Molecule: non-coding RNA, 1858 nt
Organism: Nelumbo nucifera (sacred lotus)
Lineage: Eukaryota; Viridiplantae; Streptophyta; Magnoliopsida; Proteales; Nelumbonaceae
Source: RefSeq, a predicted model, not a curated record
UCGUCUUUUCACCCUUCUGAUAGGCAUACCGCGUUUCGUGUUUCUCUCCUCUCAAACCAUAUUCCCUGACCAGACACCUCUCCGGACUCCGGCUAUCCCUCCGUCAUCGCCGAACGGCCCGAACCCGGAAGCCAACGCCGUCGUCGCCGUCCCUUCCUUUUUGACCCUUCUGAUUUUUAUAUGGGCGUUUUGCCUUUUUCCUCUCCCUYCGUCUCUUUCUCGUCUGAAGCAAACCCUGCUCUCUCGCUCGUCCCUUCCUCUCGCUCCGUCAGCCCAUCUCUCCUUCUCUUUCUAAACCCUAGCAUAGCGUCGUUCCUUCUCUUUCUAAACCUUCUUGCUAUCUUGGCCGGAGCGUGCUGCCUUCCUAGUGUUGCCGCGAGAGGGGUGUUUGAUUGGUCCAAGUCUAACAAUUUUUUCUUUUUUGUAUUCCCAUUUUGUGAUUCAGGUCUCACAGUUUUAUUUCUCUAUUUUUGCAGAGUCUCCACAGUUGAAGGAGGUUUUCCUUCGUGCUCUCUCUCUGCCCCCCCUCUUGUCUUUGUCUUAGGCGGCAGCGGACGGCAUUUCCAGCACCAUGUUUUCUAUUGAGUUAUGGAUAUUCGAAAGGUUCUUUAUUGCAAUAAGCCUUGUCUAACUUUGAACAGUUGYAUUAGUACCUGAACAUACUUCAGUAUAUCCUAACAACUGUUUAAAAGUGAUUUUCCUUUAGAACUUGUCUCAGCCAAUGGUGGAAACCUUUAUGCCUUUAUGUGGCUGUAGGCAGGAUGAUGCCUAAGAUUUCCACUUGUAGUGGACAGAGAUGAAAGUCUCUGCUCUCUUAACCUCUGCAGGCAUUAAUAUAGGCCUGUGUGUGCUGCUUUUGUCAUUGUAUUCUGUCCUGAGAAAACAACCAGCAAAUGUUAGUGUCUACUUUGGCCAGAAGCUUGCUCGAGAAAACAUAAAACGCAAUGAAUUUAUAUGCUUAAAGAGGUUAGUUCCUUCCCCUAGCUGGAUUUUGAAAGCCUUGGAAACAUCUGAAGAUGAAAUCUUGGAAAUUGGUGGCUUGGAUGCUGUGGUUUUCCUCAGAAUACUUGUUUUCAGGUGAUUAACAKCUCACUUCCUGAAAAUUCUAUCCAGUAAAGUUGAUAGAUAUGAAUUUGUUCCCCUCGUGACCAACAUAUGAAUUUCAUGUUACUGGUGGUACUAUUCUUUGGGUGUUGACUGGGAAGAUAUAUGAUACCCAGUUGCCUGUACAUGCCUAGCGGGUGUUGGACACAUACUGGAUUCUGCAUGAACACUUCUAUAUGUACUCUAUAGCAUGAAUGCUUUUAAAAUAUGUAAAAUGAUGGUACCUUUUAAUAAAACAUACUGUAAAAAWUCUGUACAUGUUAGAAAUUUAACUAAACUUGGCAAGACUUAAAUUUUGAGAAAUGGCAUUCAGAUCUAAAAUCUAGAUAUACAAGAAUGAUAUAAGCAUGGUUCACAAUUUCAAUGUCAUCUAUUAAAAAAAAUUUCAAUGCCAAUGGAGAUUUCACCAUGUGGAGUUGGAGAAACUUUGGAGAUAUUUCACUUAUUUCAUAAGAUAUUUAGAAAAUCUAAAACAUUAGGAAAGUUUUCUAGAAAUGUAGAAUUAGUGAGAAAUCUUUAGAAGAAAUAUAACUGCACAUUUAAGGCUCAAAAAACCAUAGAAAAGAACUGUAUAAGUCAAAUAGGAGAAGAUUAAGAGACCGUAAUAGGCAUCUUUCUCUUUGUCUCCCUUUUGUCAUAUGGCCAUGUUAUCUUCUUUUAAUAUAUAAAUUACUUGCUAUUUUCACUUUUGUCUUUAUUGUUACUUUAUGUUUUGAACUUUUGAUUACAUUGAGAAUACUCUUGUAGUUAUAUG